Molecule: ribosomal RNA, 443 nt
Filed under: uncultured bacterium
Lineage: Bacteria
Description: bacterial SSU rRNA
Rfam family: Bacterial small subunit ribosomal RNA
Source: RNAcentral
UAGGGAAUAUUGGACAAUGGGCGCAAGACUGAUCCAGCCAUGCCGCGUGCAGGAAGAAGGCCUUCUGGGUCGUAAACUGCUUUUCUCUGGGGAUAAAAGACCCGUGCGCGGGGAAUUGAAGGUACCAGAGGAAUAAGCCACGGCUAACUACGUGCCAGCAGCCGCGGUAAUACGUAGGUGGCAAGCGUUGUCCGGAUUUAUUGGGUUUAAAGGGUGCGUAGGCGGUUCCAUAAGUCAGUGGUGAAAUACGGCAGCUCAACUGUCGAGGUGCCAUUGAUACUGCGGAACUUGAGUACUGAUGAGGCAGGCGGAAUUGACGGUGUAGCGGUGAAAUGCUUAGAUAUCGUCAAGAACACCGAUAGCGAAGGCAGCUUACCAAGCAGUAACUGACGCUCAGGCACGAAAGUGCGGGGAUCAAACAGGAUUAGAUACCCGUGUAGUCC